This 403-nucleotide ribosomal RNA is filed under the name bacterium. RNAcentral's name for it is "partial 16S ribosomal RNA". It matches the Rfam family "Bacterial small subunit ribosomal RNA", at positions 355 to 776 of the family's 1533-position model. The record is from RNAcentral.
UGGGGAAUAUUGCACAAUGGAGGGAACUCUGAUGCAGCGACGCCGCGUGAACGAAGAAGGCUUUCGAGUCGUAAAGUUCUUUUAUAUGGGAAGAUAAUGACGGUACCAUAAGAAAAAGCCCCGGCUAACUACGUGCCAGCAGCCGCGGUAAUACGUCGGGGGCUAGCGUUGACCGGAAUCACUGGGCGUAAAGGGUUCUCAGGCGGAAAUGCAAGUCAGGUGUAAAAGGCAGUAGCUUAACUACUGUAAGCAUUUGAAACUGCAUAUCUUGAGAAGAGUAGAGGUAAGUGGAAUUUGUAGUGUAGCGGUGAAAUGCGUAGAUAUUAAAAAGAAUACCGGUGGCGAAGGCGGCUUACUGGGCUCAUUCUGACGCUGAGGAACGAAAGCGAGGGUAGCAAACAGG